Molecule: ribosomal RNA, 255 nt
Filed under: uncultured bacterium
Lineage: Bacteria
Description: partial 16S ribosomal RNA
Rfam family: Bacterial small subunit ribosomal RNA
Source: RNAcentral
AUUGAACGCUGGCGGAAUGCUUUACACAUGCAAGUCGAACGGCAGCACGGGUGCUUGCACCUGGUGGCGAGUGGCGAACGGGUGAGUAAAGCAUCGGAACGUGCCCUGGAGUGGGGGAUAACGUAGCGAAAGUUACGCUAAUACCGCAUAUUCUGUGAGCAGGAAAGCAGGGGAUCGCAAGACCUUGCGCUCUGGGAGCGGCCGAUGUCGGAUUAGCUAGUUGGUGGGGUAAAGGCCUACCAAGGCGACGAUCCG